GAGGAUGCAAGCGUUAUCCGGAUUUAUUGGGUUUAAAGGGUGCGUAGGCUGUUUGUCAAGUCAGCGGUGUAAUACCGGAGCCCAACUCCGGAACUGCCGUUGAUACUGAUGAGCUGGAAUACGGAUGCCGUGGGAGGAAUGAGUAGUGUAGCGGUGAAAUGCAUAGAUAUUACUCAGAACACCGAUUGCGAAGGCAUCUCACGAAUCCGUCAUUGACGCUGAGGCACGAAAGCGUGGGGAUCAAA
RNAcentral lists this ribosomal RNA (245 nucleotides) under uncultured bacterium. RNAcentral describes it as "partial 16S ribosomal RNA". It matches the Rfam family "Bacterial small subunit ribosomal RNA", at positions 528 to 772 of the family's 1533-position model. The record is from RNAcentral.